This 441-nucleotide ribosomal RNA is filed under the name uncultured bacterium. RNAcentral's name for it is "partial 16S ribosomal RNA". It matches the Rfam family "Bacterial small subunit ribosomal RNA", at positions 338 to 795 of the family's 1533-position model. The record is from RNAcentral.
CCUACGGGAGGCAGCAGUGGGGAAUAUUGCACAAUGGGGGAAACCCUGAUGCAGCGACGCCGCGUGAGUGAAGAAGUAUCUCGGUAUGUAAAGCUCUGUCAGCAGGGAAGAGAAUGACGGUACCUGACCAAGAAGCCCCGGCUAAAUACGUGCCAGCAGCCGCGGUAAUACGUAUGGGGCAAGCGUUAUCCGGAUUUACUGGGUGUAAAGGGAGCGUAGGCGGCAGGGCAAGCCUGAUGUGAAAGCCCGGGGCUCAACCCCGGGACUGCAUUGGGAACUGCCCCGCUCGAGUGCCGGAGGGGCAGGCGGAAUUCCUAGUGUAGCGGUGAAAUGCGUAGAUAUUAGGAGGAACACCAGUGGCGAAGGCGGCCUGCUGGACGGUGUACUGACGCUGAGGCUCGAAAGCGUGGGGAGCAAACAGGAUUAGAUACCCGGGUAGUC